RNAcentral lists this ribosomal RNA (863 nucleotides) under uncultured bacterium. RNAcentral describes it as "bacterial SSU rRNA". It matches the Rfam family "Bacterial small subunit ribosomal RNA", at positions 622 to 1498 of the family's 1533-position model. The record is from RNAcentral.
GCCCAUUGAUACUGCUGGUCUUGAAUACGGUUGAAGUAGGCGGAAUGUAGCAUGUAGCGGUGAAAUGCAUAGAGAUGCUACAGAACACCGAUCGCGAAGGCAGCUUACUAAGCCGAUAUUGACGCUCAGGCACGAAAGCGUGGGGAGCGAACAGGAUUAGAUACCCUGGUAGUCCACGCCGUAAACUAUGAUCACUCGUUGUUGGCAAUACACAGUCAGUGACUAAGCGAAAGCGAUAAGUGAUCCACCUGGGGAGUACGAUCGCAAGGUUGAAACUCAAAGGAAUUGACGGGGGCCCGCACAAGCGGUGGAGCAUGUGGUUUAAUUCGAUGAUACGCGAGGAACCUUACCUGGGCUCAAAUGUAAGUUGACAAAUCCUGAAAGGGGUCUCUCUUCGGACAAUUUACAAGGUGCUGCAUGGUUGUCGUCAGCUCGUGCCGUGAGGUGUCGGGUUAAGUCCCAUAACGAGCGCAACCCCUACUCUUAGUUGCCAGCAUGUAAUGAUGGGGACUCUAGGAGAACUGCCUACGCAAGUAGAGAGGAAGGUGGGGAUGACGUCAAAUCAGCACGGCCCUUACGUCCAGGGCUACACACGUGCUACAAUGGCCGGUACAGAGGGCAGCCACCUGGUGACAGGGAGCGAAUCUCUAAAGCCGGUCUCAGUUCGGAUCGAAGUCUGCAACCCGACUUCGUGAAGCUGGAAUCGCUAGUAAUCGCGCAUCAGCCAUGGCGCGGUGAAUACGUUCCCGGGCCUUGUACACACCGCCCGUCAAGCCAUGGAAGCUGGGAGUACCUGAAGUCGGUGACCGUAAAGGAGCCGCCUAGGGUAAAACUGGUAACUAGGGCUAAGUCGUAACAAGGUA